GACGAACGCUGGCGGCGUGCUUAACACAUGCAAGUCGAACGGAAAGGCCCUGCUUUUGUGGGGUGCUCGAGUGGCGAACGGGUGAGUAACACGUGAGUAACCUGCCCUUGACUUUGGGAUAACUUCAGGAAACUGGGGCUAAUACCGGAUAGGAGCUCCUGCUGCAUGGUGGGGGUUGGAAAGUUUCGGCGGUUGGGGAUGUACUCGCGGCUUAUCAGCUUGUUGGUGGGGUAGUGGCUUACCAAGGCUUUGACGGGUAGCCGGCCUGAGAGGGUGACCGGCCACAUUGGGACUGAGGUACGGCCCAGACUCCUACGGGAGGCAGCAGUGGGGAAUAUUGCACAAUGGGCGGAAGCCUGAUGCAGCAACGCCGCGUGCGGGAUGACGGCCUUCGGGUUGUAAACCGCUUUCGCCUGUGACGAAGCGUGAGUGACGGUAAUGGGUAAAGAAGCACCGGCUAACUACGUG
This 468-nucleotide ribosomal RNA is filed under the name uncultured bacterium. RNAcentral describes it as "partial 16S ribosomal RNA". It matches the Rfam family "Bacterial small subunit ribosomal RNA", at positions 28 to 507 of the family's 1533-position model. The record is from RNAcentral.